RNAcentral lists this ribosomal RNA (230 nucleotides) under uncultured fungus. RNAcentral's name for it is "partial 18S ribosomal RNA". It matches the Rfam family "Eukaryotic small subunit ribosomal RNA", at positions 40 to 274 of the family's 1831-position model. Lineage: Eukaryota; Fungi. The record is from RNAcentral.
AAGAUUAAGCCAUGCAUGUCUAAGUAUAAGCACUUUAUACCGUGAAACUGCGAAUGGCUCAUUAAAUCAGUUAUCGUUUAUUUGAUAGUACCCUACUACAUGGAUACCUGUGGUAAUUCUAGAGCUAAUACAUGCGUAAAACCCCGACUUUUGGAGGGGUGUAUUUAUUAGAUAAAAACCAAUGCCCCCCGGGGCUCCUUGGUGAUUCAUAAUAACUUAACGAAUCGCAU